RNAcentral lists this ribosomal RNA (322 nucleotides) under uncultured bacterium. Its description in RNAcentral is "bacterial SSU rRNA". It matches the Rfam family "Bacterial small subunit ribosomal RNA", at positions 1061 to 1382 of the family's 1533-position model. The record is from RNAcentral.
CGUUUCGUGAGAUGUUGGGUUAAGUCUCGCAAGCGAGCGCAUCCCUCGUCUUCAGUUGCCAUCAGGUAAAGUUGGGCCAUUUGGAGAAACUACCGGUGACAAGCCGGAGGAAGGUGGGGAUGAGGUCAAGUCCUCAUGGCCCUUACGGGCUGGGCUACGCGCGUGGUUCAAUGGCGGAGACAACGGGAACCGAAGGUGCGAGCCGGAACCGAUCCCAAAAAGCCGUCCCAGUUCGGAUUGCACUUCGCAUCUCGAGUCCAUGAAGGUGGAAUCGUUAGUAAUUGCGGAUCAGCAUGCCGCGGUGAAUACGUUCCCGGGCCUU